Rosa chinensis is the source of this 549-nucleotide long non-coding RNA. RefSeq lists it as uncharacterized. The transcript is spliced from 5 exons. The record is from RefSeq and is a predicted model, not a curated record. Lineage: Eukaryota; Viridiplantae; Streptophyta; Magnoliopsida; Rosales; Rosaceae.
GCGAGCUGCAGAAAGAUUGAGGAAAACUUCUUCGGGACCCGAUCUCAGCCAAAUCCCACCUAUCGAUAAUGGAGGAAUGAGAAAAUCAGAGAGCGCAAAUCGACUCUCUGAGAGCGAUGUCAGUACUUUAGUUUCUCAGAUAAGAGACUUGGAUAGGAAGAAUGCAGAACUGGAAGAACAAAACAAAAAUUUGGCUUCCAUGGCUGGGCAAAGAGGCCGAUAACAACAACAUCGCCGUAGGAUCCCGGGGCGGCGUCGUCGAUAAUCUUUUUGUCGGAAAAUCCCUCAAUCGAGACUCCGAUAUCGUCUUUGAUUAUCGAUAGAAGGUCACCAGGUACUUCCAGUACCUGCAAGGAGAUUAUUACAUUGCGCCUCUCUUCAUGGUAUGAUGGACUUCGAUAACCUUCUCGAGUUCAAGAAUGACGACCCACUCCUCAACCCUCUGCUAAGAAAAGGAAAUUGGAUGAUAUUUUGACUGAUGUGAACUGGAGAAGGUGAGGUUUUGGUUGCCAAGUGGGAAGGUUAAGUCUGUGUGGUUGAAUGAUGUGA